RNAcentral lists this ribosomal RNA (254 nucleotides) under uncultured bacterium. RNAcentral's name for it is "partial 16S ribosomal RNA". It matches the Rfam family "Bacterial small subunit ribosomal RNA", at positions 524 to 776 of the family's 1533-position model. The record is from RNAcentral.
CACGUAGGGGGCGAGCGUUGUCCGGAUUUAUUGGGCGUAAAGAGCUCGUAGGCGGCUCGGUAAGUGAGGUGUGAAAACUCCAGGCUCAACCUGGAGACGCCAACUCAUACUGCCGUGGCUAGAGUCCGGUAGGGGAGCAUGGAAUUCCUGGUGUAGCGGUGAAAUGCGCAGAUAUCAGGAGGAACACCAGUGGCGAAGGCGGCACCCUGGACCGACACUGACGCUGAGGAGCGAAAGCCAGGGGAGCAAACGGG